CUCAACUUCCGCGUCAGGAGCCAAUCAGCGAGCUCGCGUGGAGGUAUAGGCGCAGGGGGCUGGAACGGGGAGCUCCGCUUCCGGUGGCAGGGUCUGGGGAAGGGGCGGCAGGCGCCAUGUCGGGCCGCGAAGGUGGCAAGAAGAAGCCCCUGAAGCAGCCCAAGAAGCAAGCCAAGGAGAUGGACGAGGAAGAUAAGGCAUUCAAGCAGAAGCAGAAGGAGGAGCAGAAGAAACUCGAGGAGCUAAAAGCAAAGGCCGCGGGGAAAGGCCCCCUGGCCACUGGUGGAAUUAAGAAAUCUGGCAAAAAGUAAGCUGUUCCCUUGCGCCUGAGGCAGUGAUGACCCUUA
Molecule: long non-coding RNA, 347 nt
Organism: Dama dama (fallow deer)
Lineage: Eukaryota; Metazoa; Chordata; Mammalia; Artiodactyla; Cervidae
Exons: 4
Source: RefSeq, a predicted model, not a curated record